AUUGAACGCUGGCGGCAGGCCUAACACAUGCAAGUCGAGCGGAGGAAGGGAGCUUGCUCCUGGAUUCAGCGGCGGACGGGUGAGUAAUGCCUAGGAAUCUGCCUGGUAGUGGGGGAUAACGUCCGGAAACGGGCGCUAAUACCGCAUACGUCCUGAGGGAGAAAGUGGGGGAUCUUCGGACCUCACGCUAUCAGAUGAGCCUAGGUCGGAUUAGCUAGUUGGUGGGGUAAAGGCCUACCAAGGCGACGAUCCGUAACUGGUCUGAGAGGAUGAUCAGUCACACUGGAACUGGGACACGGUCCAGCCUCCUACGGGAGGCAGCAGUGGGGAAUAUUGGCCAAUGGGCGAAAGCCUGAUCCGGCCCUGCCGCGUGUGUGAAGAAGGUCUUCGGAUUGUAAAGCACUUUAAGUUGGGAGGAAGGGCAGUAAGUUAAUACCUUGCUGUUUUGACGUUACCAACAGAAUAAGCACCGGCUAACUUCGUG
Molecule: ribosomal RNA, 484 nt
Filed under: uncultured bacterium
Lineage: Bacteria
Description: partial 16S ribosomal RNA
Rfam family: Bacterial small subunit ribosomal RNA
Source: RNAcentral